AGAGUUUGAUCCUGGCUCAGGAUGAACGCUAGCGGCAGGCUUAAUACAUGCAAGUCGAGGGGCAGCACGGGGAGCAAUACCUGGUGGCGACCGGCGCACGGGGGCGUAACGCGUAUGUAAUCUACCAUUAACCGGGGAAUAGCCCAGAGAAAUCUGGAUUAAUGCCCCAUAGUAUUAUCGAAAGGCAUCUUUUGAUAAUUAAAGCUCAGGCGGUUUUUGAUGAACAUGCGUGUCAUUAGUUUGUUGGUGAGGUAACGGCUCACCAAGACUACGAUGACUAGGGGGUCUGAGAGGAUGAUCCCCCACACUGGUACUGAGACACGGACCAGACUCUUACGGGAGGCAGCAGUGAGGAAUAUUGGGCAAUGGAGGCAACUCUGAACCAGCCAUGCCGCGUGCAGGAUGAAGGCGCUACGCGUUGUAAACUUCUUUUGUACGGGAAGAAACCUCUCUACGUGUAGGCCGCAGACGGUAAGGUAUGAAUAAGCAUCGGCUAACUCCGUGCCAGCAGCCGCGGUAAUACGGAGGAUGCGAGCGUUAUCCGGAAUCAUUGGGUUUAAAGGGCGCGUGGGCGGAUUAAUAAGUCAGUGGUGAAAGCCUUCAGCUUAACUGAAGAACUGUCUUUGAUACUGUUGUUCUUGAGUACAGUUGAAGUGGGUGGAAUGUGUGGGGUAGCGGUGAAAUGAAUAGAUAUGACACAGAACGCCGAUUGCGAAGGCAACUCACAAAGCCAUUACUGACGCUGAGGCACGAAAGCGUGGGGAUCGAACAGGAUUAGAUACCCUGGUAGUCCACGCCGUAAACGAUGAUCACUCGCUGUUUGCGAUAUACAGCAAGCGGCUGAGCGAAAGCAUUAAGUGAUCCACCUGGGGAGUACGAUCGCAAGGUUGAAACUCAAAGGAAUUGACGGGGGCCCGCACAAGCGGAGGAACAUGUGGUUUAAUUCGAUGAUACGCGAGGAACCUUACCUGGGCUUAAAUGUAGGCUGCAUUCGGCUGAAAGGCUGAUUCCCUUCGGGGCUGCUUACAAGGUGCUGCAUGGUUGUCGUCAGCUCGUGCCGUGAGGUGUCGGGUUAAGUCCCAUAACGAGCGCAACCCCUGUCGUUAGUUGCCAUCAAAUUAUGUUGGGAACUCUAAACAAACUGCCGGGGACAAAUCGGAGGAAGGUGGGGAUGACGUCAAAUCAUCAUGCCCCUUAUGUCCUGGGCUACACACGUGCUACAAUGGCCGGUACAGAGGGCAGCGAAGCCGCGAGGGGAGCCCAUUCGAGAAAGCCGGUCUCAGUUCGGAUUGCAGGCUGCAACUCGCCUGCAUGAAGUCGGAAUCGCUAGUAAUCGCAGGUCAGCAUACUGCGGUGAAUACGUUCCCGGGCCUUGUACACACCGCCCGUCACACCACGAAAGUCGGCAACACCCGAAGCCGGUGACUCAACCCGAAAGGGAGCUAGCCGUCGAAGGUGGGGCCGAUAAUUGGGGUGAAGUCGUAACAAGGUAACC
This 1495-nucleotide ribosomal RNA is filed under the name uncultured bacterium. Its description in RNAcentral is "16S ribosomal RNA". It matches the Rfam family "Bacterial small subunit ribosomal RNA". The record is from RNAcentral.